RNAcentral lists this unclassified non-coding RNA (328 nucleotides) under soil metagenome. Its description in RNAcentral is "partial contains 5.8S ribosomal RNA, internal transcribed spacer 2, and large subunit ribosomal RNA". The stretch from base 1 to 120 matches the Rfam family "5.8S ribosomal RNA", at positions 35 to 154 of the family's 154-position model. The record is from RNAcentral.
GAUGAAGAACGCAGCGAAAUGCGAUAAGUAAUGUGAAUUGCAGAAUUCAGUGAAUCAUCGAAUCUUUGAACGCACAUUGCGCCCCUUGGUAUUCCGAGGGGCAUGCCUGUUCGAGCGUCAUUAUAACCCCUCAAGCUCAGCUUGGUGUUGGGGCCUGCCGCACGGGCAGCCCUUAAAAUCAGUGGCGGUGCCAUCUGGCUCUAAGCGUAGUAAUUCUUCUCGCUAUGGAGUUCCGGUGGAUGCUUGCCAUUAACCCCCAAUUUUCUAUGGUUGACCUCGGAUCAGGUAGGGAUACCCGCUGAACUUAAGCAUAUCAAUAAGCGGAGGA